UUUCCCGGGUUGAUCCUGCCGGGACCCGACUGCUAUUUGGGUGAGGAUAAGCCAUGCGAGUUGAAUGGGAAACCUAAAAAUCCCAUGGCAAACUGCUCAGUAACACAUGAUCAACUUACCCUAUAGAGGAAAAUAACCUCGGGAAACUGAGGAUAAUGUUUCAUAGUUGAAUAGGCUUGGAAAAGUUUUUCAAUGAAAGGGAUAAGAAAAAUGGUUCUUAUUUGCCAUAGGAUAGGAUCGUGGUCGAUUAUGGUUGUUGGUGAGGUAACGGCUCACCAAGCCGAUAAUCGAUAGGGGCCGUGAGAGCGAGAGCCCCGAGAUGGGUACUGAGACAACGACCCAGGCCUUACGAGGCGCAGCAGGUGCGGAACCUCCGCAAUACACGAAAGUGUGACGGGGUUACCCAAAGUGUUCAUUAUUGAACUGUGGUAGGUGAGUAAUGUCCCCUACUAGAAAGGAGAGGGCAAGGCUGGUGCCAGCCGCCGCGGUAAAACCAGCUCUUCAAGUGGUCGGGAUGAUUAUUGGGCUUAAAGUGUCCGUAGCCGGUUUAGUAAGUUCCUGGUAAAAUCGGGUAGCUUAACUAUCCGUAUGCUAGGAAUACUGCUAUACUAGAGGGCGGGAGAGGUCUGAGGUACUAUAGGGGUAGGGGUGAAAUCCUAUAAUCCUUAUAGGACCACCAGUGGCGAAGGCGUCAGACUGGAACGCGCCUGACGGUGAGGGACGAAAGCCAGGGGAGCGAACCGGAUUAGAUACCCGGGUAGUCCUGGCCGUAAACGAUGCAUACUAGGUGAUGGUACGGCCAUGAGCCGUAUCAGUGCCGUAGGGAAACCGUUAAGUGUGCCGCCUGGGAAGUACGGUCGCAAGGCUAAAACUUAAAGGAAUUGGCGGGGGAGCACCACAAGGGGUGAAGCCUGCGGUUCAAUUGGAUUCAACGCCGGG
Molecule: ribosomal RNA, 939 nt
Filed under: uncultured archaeon
Lineage: Archaea
Description: bacterial SSU rRNA
Rfam family: Archaeal small subunit ribosomal RNA
Source: RNAcentral